AACGAACGCUGGCGGCAUGCCUAACACAUGCAAGUCGAACGAGACCUUCGGGUCUAGUGGCGCACGGGUGCGUAACGCGUGGGAACCUGCCCUUAGGUUCGGAAUAACUCCCCGAAAGGGGUGCUAAUACCGGAUAAUGUCUUCGGACCAAAGAUUUAUCGCCUUUGGAUGGGCCCGCGUUGGAUUAGCUAGUUGGUAGGGUAAAAGCCUACCAAGGCGACGAUCCAUAGCUGGUCUGAGAGGAUGAUCAGCCACACUGGGACUGAGACACGGCCCAGACUCCUACGGGAGGCAGGAGUGGGGAAUAUUGGAACAUGGGCGAAAGGCUGAUCCAACAAUGCCGCGUGAGUGAUGAAGGCCUUAGGGUUGUAAAGCUCUUUUACCCGGGAUGAUAAUGACAGUACCGGGAGAAUAAGCUCCGACUAACUCCGUG
Molecule: ribosomal RNA, 433 nt
Filed under: uncultured bacterium
Lineage: Bacteria
Description: partial 16S ribosomal RNA
Rfam family: Bacterial small subunit ribosomal RNA
Source: RNAcentral